AGCUCCAAUAGCGUAUAUUAAAGUUGUUGCAGUUAAAAAGCUCGUAGUUGGAUUUGUGGUUGGGGAUGUCGGUCCGACACAGUGUGUGGGUACUUGAUAUUCCUGUCCAUCCUUGGGUGGAACCUGUGUGGCAUUAGGUUGUCGUGCAGGGGAUGCCCAUCGUUUACUGUGAAAAAAUUAGAGUGUUCAAAGCAGGCUUACGCCGUUGAAUAUAUUAGCAUGGAAUAAUGAGAUAGGACCUGGGUACUAUUUUGUUGGUUUGCGCACCGAGGUAAUGAUUAAUAGGGACAGUUGGGGGUAUUCGUAUUCCAUUGUCAGAGGUGAAAUUCUUGGAUUUUUGGAAGACGAACGACUGCGAAAGCAUUUACCAAGGAUGUUUUCAUUAAUCAAGAACGAAAGU
RNAcentral lists this ribosomal RNA (400 nucleotides) under phytoplankton environmental sample. RNAcentral's name for it is "partial small subunit ribosomal RNA". It matches the Rfam family "Eukaryotic small subunit ribosomal RNA", at positions 587 to 990 of the family's 1831-position model. The record is from RNAcentral.